CAUGCGGCCUAUGUGACAGUCUGCGGCGAGACGCGACGUAACGCGCACUUGUUUUGAGGGCGACCAGGUGCGACACCCAGAAGCGUAGAUUGUUGUGGGACAAAAAACAUUAACAUUAAAGAAAUCGCUUAUUAGUACAAAUAAGUUGGAAGAAUAUUGCUGUCUGUACUUUAAAUAUGAACUUUCAAGCAAAUUGUAACACAACUUCUCCAUGAUUUGAGAAGUAAUGACCAAAAUCACGUAGGACAUUUGUCGCGUAUAGCAUCGCGUCGCAUUACGUCGCCUCGUGUUGCGUCGCGUCGCGUCGCGUUCGUCGCUCACGCAGGACACCGCGUUACCGAGGAAGGACGUAUCGCUCGCUGUAGCGCCGCGUAAACUCGCCGGAGUUCGAAAAAUAUAGCGCAACCUACGCAUCUAACACGUUUUGAUACAAGAUAAUGAAAGCAUAUUUAAUUCAGAUUAUCAGACUCAAUCGGAUACCAGUACAAAUAAUAUGGAAAAUGAAGAUACAAUACAUGGAAGACGAAUUAUAGAUUUUAGUU
Long non-coding RNA from Helicoverpa zea (corn earworm), 542 nucleotides. RefSeq lists it as uncharacterized. The record is from RefSeq and is a predicted model, not a curated record. The transcript is spliced from 3 exons. Lineage: Eukaryota; Metazoa; Arthropoda; Insecta; Lepidoptera; Noctuidae.